GGAAUCAUGUAUUGAAUGUAAUCGGAGUGGGAUGUAGCUGGCCUCUUCAUUGAGGGCAUGUGCACGCGUUCUCUGUUCAUCCACACACACCUGUGAACUUGUGAGACGGGUAGCCCCUUCGGGGGCCGUCCGUCUGCUACACAUAAACUUUUAUAUAUAAAUUUGAAUGUAAUUGAUGUAACGCAUCUAUAAACUAAGUUUCAACAACGGAUCUCUUGGCUCUCGCAUCGAUGAAGAACGCAGCGAAAUGCGAUAAGUAAUGUGAAUUGCAGAAUUCAGUGAAUCAUCGAAUCUUUGAACGCACCAUGCGCUCCUUGGUAUUCCGAGGAGCAUGCCUGUUUGAGUGUCUUGAAAUCAUCAAACCCCUCUGGUUUCUGCUGGAGCGGGUUUGGACUUGGGGGUUGUGUUGCCUCAGGCGGCUCCCCUUAAAUGAAUCGGUCGGACUUUAGUGAGGCUUGUCCCUUGGCGUUGUAUCAACCUCGUCGUUGGAUGGCUCGCGAGCUUAGCGCCCCUCCAAGACCAGCCUGUGGAGUGGCGGUCAACUUCAAUUGGUGAUGUGACCUCAAAUCAGGUAGGAAUACCCACUGAACUUAAGCAUAUCAAUAAGCGGAGGA
This 614-nucleotide ribosomal RNA is filed under the name uncultured fungus. RNAcentral's name for it is "eukaryotic LSU rRNA". The stretch from base 196 to 349 matches the Rfam family "5.8S ribosomal RNA". The record is from RNAcentral. Lineage: Eukaryota; Fungi.